UCCUACGGGAGGCAGCAGCGAGGAAUUUUGCGCAAUGGGCGAAAGCCUGACGCAGCAACGCCGCGUGGGUGAUGAAGGCCUUCGGGUCGUAAAGCCCUUUUGUCGGGGAAGACAACGACGGUACCCGACGAAGAAGCCACGGCUAACUACGUGCCAGCAGCCGCGGUA
This 168-nucleotide ribosomal RNA is filed under the name uncultured Clostridium sp. Its description in RNAcentral is "partial 16S ribosomal RNA". It matches the Rfam family "Bacterial small subunit ribosomal RNA", at positions 337 to 522 of the family's 1533-position model. Lineage: Bacteria; Bacillati; Bacillota; Clostridia; Eubacteriales; Clostridiaceae. RNAcentral also lists the same sequence under 1 other name. The record is from RNAcentral.